GGGAAACGCAUUAAAUAUAAGAGGAGAACAACGACAUAACACCGAAACGUAACACACACAGAAACAGACCAAGCAUCAGACAAAACACCACGAGAAUAACAAAUAUAACAUGAAAACCAAAUACAUGAAUUUGGGAUAGACAAGUACCGUGCCACGUCUUAUCUCAAUAUCUCAAAAAUAAGAGAAAACACAAACGACUCAACGUUAAAAUGCAACACACACAGAAACGAACAAUAAUAUAACAAUGGCCAUCUUCCUGACUUGGUACAGGACACUUUUAAGGGGGAAUAAAAGUGGUGGGUUGAACCUGGUUUUGUGGCAUGCCAAACCUCGCACUUUAAUGGCAAAGUUAAAUAUAACAUUGAAAUGACAAC
RNAcentral lists this long non-coding RNA (374 nucleotides) under Mytilus galloprovincialis (Mediterranean mussel). Lineage: Eukaryota; Metazoa; Mollusca; Bivalvia; Mytilida; Mytilidae. The record is from RNAcentral.